GCUGAAGGAGAAGAGGUUGUACAGGCAUAGGGGAGGGGACGGGGCUGGGCAUCCCUGAGGCAUUGACGGGGGAAGCCCCCGGCGAAAGACUGAAGAUGGUUUGGGGAGGAGACUUCAGCAGCCGCCAGGGAACGGGGCAAGCUGGGUCCUCGGGAUCCCUGGGGAUCUUCAGAGACGCGAGGCCCAGGAUCUCUGCAUCUCACGAGUCAGGACGUUUGGAGGGGCUGGCGUGGGGAUCCGGCAGCAAAGGUGCCUGAUUUUCCCUUUCAGUCCUCCCAGCCUUAUGUUCCUCCCACUCUGAGCCGCCAGAGCCUGAUGAGGGAGAGCACAGCGAGGCCUUUACCAAGCCCCCUAAGGCACCCAAAUAAAACCUACAGAUCGCUGUGCCUUCAGAGCUGAGGCCAGAGUGGGUAGAACCGCAGCUUUUAUAAAGGCAGAAAAGGAGAUGGACGUGAGAGGGGAGGGUGUGAGGAAAGCCGGCUGGGGGCCCCCCUCUGGCAGCCUUCGGGUCCUUUCUGAAGCAGAGGGUCUGAGAAACACUCCAGUACCUCCCCAGAAGUGGAAGAAUACCUGCCUGGUCGGGGAAAGGGGUUGUCCUGCAGAGAAACGCCUGGAAAAGGGGGGAAGGAUGAUUUGGGGUUCCGAGUGGCCCGAAGCGGAACACUGGGGGAAAGAAAGCCUGUCCCGGAGCGGGUUUCCACGGGCUGGGCUGUCCCUCUGCUGCCCAGCGCGCUGCUGCUGACCUCCCUACUCACUCUGCAGCUGUGGGGAGCUCUUUCCUGUGUCGGAACCGGUCCUGCCCUGUGAAUUACUGCUACAAUCAAGGCCACUGCUACAUCUCCCAGACUCUGGGCUGUAAGCCCACGUGCACCUGUCCCCCGGCCUUCACCGACAGCCGCUGCUUCCUGGCUGGGAACAACUUCAGUCCAACUGUCCACCUAGAACUUCCCUUAAGAGUCAUCCAGCUCCUGCUCAGUGGAGAGGAAAAUGCCUCCAUGGCAGAGGUCAACGCCUCGGUGGCAUACAGACUGGGGACCCUGGACAUGCGGGCCUUUCUCCGCAACAGCGAAGUGAAACGAAUUGAUUCCCCAGCACCGGCCUCGGGAAGCCCCAUUCAACAGUGGAUGGUCAUCUCGGAGUUCCAGUACCGUCCUCGGGGCCCCGUCAUCGACUUCCUGAACAACCAGCUGCUGGCCGCGGUGGUGGAGGCGUUCUUAUACCACGUUCCAUGGAGGAGUGAGGAGCCCAGGAACGACGUGGUCUUCCAGCCCAUCUCCAGGGAAGACGUGCGCGAUGUGACAGCCC
RNAcentral lists this small RNA (1305 nucleotides) under Pongo abelii (Sumatran orangutan). RNAcentral describes it as "retained intron". Lineage: Eukaryota; Metazoa; Chordata; Mammalia; Primates; Hominidae. The record is from RNAcentral.